RNAcentral lists this unclassified non-coding RNA (387 nucleotides) under soil metagenome. RNAcentral describes it as "partial contains 5.8S ribosomal RNA, internal transcribed spacer 2, and large subunit ribosomal RNA". The stretch from base 1 to 120 matches the Rfam family "5.8S ribosomal RNA", at positions 35 to 154 of the family's 154-position model. The record is from RNAcentral.
GAUGAAGAACGCAGCGAAAUGCGAUAAGUAAUGUGAAUUGCAGAAUUCAGUGAAUCAUCGAAUCUUUGAACGCACCUUGCACCCUUUGGCAUUCCGAAGGGUAUGCUCGUUUGAGUGUCAUUGUACUCUCACACUCUCUGAUCCUAUGGAUUCGGGGAGCGGUGGACUUGGGUGUUGCUGCCUUUCCCUGUGGCUCACCUCAAAUGCGUCAGUGCACCUCUUGGUUGGACAUAGUACGGCGUGAUAAGUGUCUUCGCCGGCACCUCGCAAGAGGGUGGCCGAUCGGGAGCUCUGCGCUUUCAAACCGUCUUCGGACAAUUUCUGACAUCUUGACCUCAAAUCGAGUAGGACUACCCGCUGAACUUAAGCAUAUCAAUAAGCGGAGGA